Molecule: ribosomal RNA, 525 nt
Filed under: uncultured bacterium
Lineage: Bacteria
Description: bacterial SSU rRNA
Rfam family: Bacterial small subunit ribosomal RNA
Source: RNAcentral
AGUGAACGCUGGCGGCGUGCUUAACACAUGCAAGUCGAACGCGAAAGUGGAGCAAUCCAUGAGUAGAGUGGCGAACGGGUGAGUAAAAUGUGGGUAAUCUAGCUUUCAGAGGGGGAUAACCCGGGGAAACCUGGGCUAAAACCGCGUACGAUUUCCGGAUUUGCGGAUUUGGAAAUGAAAACAUGGCCUCUAUUUAUAAGCUAUGGCUGGAAGGUGAGCCCACAUCCUAUCACGCUUGUUGGUGGGGUAAAGGCCUACCAAGGCGACGACGGGUAGCCGGCCUGAGAGGGUGUCCGGCCACACUGGAACUGAGACACGGUCCAGACUCCUACGGGAGGCAGCAGUGGGGAAUUUUUCGCAAUGGGCGCAAGCCUGACGAAGCAACGCCGCGUAGAGGAUGAAGGCCCUCGCGGUCGUAAACUCUUGUCUAGCGGGACGAAACUCCUAUACGGGAACACUGUGUAGGAUUGACUGUACCGCUGGAGGAAGCUCCGGCCAACUCCGUGCCAGCAGCCGCCGUAACAC